Molecule: long non-coding RNA, 3024 nt
Organism: Patiria miniata (bat star)
Lineage: Eukaryota; Metazoa; Echinodermata; Asteroidea; Valvatida; Asterinidae
Exons: 4
Source: RefSeq, a predicted model, not a curated record
GGCCCUGCAUGCCCAUGACGGAAGUGUGAAAAGAGCGAAUUGUAGCUCUUAAUGCAGUUAUCCUAACUUAUUGCAUAAUGAAUAAUUCGGUCAGCUUAAAAAAUGUCACAACCCUUUUGCAUUGUAUUUUGAAUUGUAUUUUGAGAGCAUGAUGACUUGAAAAAUGACUUUGAUGAUCUGCAACUUUGCCUGAUCACUAGUGUCACAGUAGAAAUUUUGAUUUGCUUCAUGUACUAGGCAUUUCCUUAAGGGGAUGAUUAUCAAAAAUAGUUUCCAGGGUAGUUUUACUUCAGGACAUGCAAAGCAUUAGCUUACAUGAACAAAUUGUGAAUUAUUAUCACAAAUAAGUUUAACAGGUUCCAGAUGGCAAGUUACUAUUUUGAGUAACGAGCGUUUGGCAUAAAAGCACCACUUCUAUUUGAGAAGAAGAGAGCUGUUGACUAAUUUAUACACGGACAGGGAUAUUACCCACUAAAAUAAUGACACUAUUUGGUUGUUUAUUGAGUACCAUGUAUUAUUGAAAUUCAGUACCACAUGCACCUUUUUAUUAUUACGUUACAAUGACCGUCAGGUCAGCUGAUCAGGAAGUGAUGUAACAAAUGCUGUGACCUCUGCUCAUCUUAAGCUCCAGCUGCAGAGUUACAAUCUUCAUAUGAAUGUAAGCUGAUUUCCAGUUUUAUGACUGACACCUCAGAACCCUUAGGUUACACAUUGCCAAAAGCCCUCUCCAGAACUGGCCCUUGUACAAAUGUAGGUGAGAGAACUGUGAAUGCUGGGAAGUGGUAAGAAUCAAAAGCUCUCUAGUCAACAUGUGCAAACAGGCUUUCUACUAGUGUUUCCAACUCACAAGUCAUCUGUGUAUUUUGAAAUCAGCUUGCUUACUUCAAGUGAUGAAUGUGUUACAUACCUGUACAUGUAUACAUAUUAUUUUAAAGUCCAGUGGGCAGAAAUUGCUUGGUAAAAUGUUAUCAAGCUUUCUUUUUUGAUAAUGGUUUUGUUCAUUGUGUGUGUCAGAAUAUGUGUAAAUAUGAUAAUUAUGGUGAUGCUCAAAAUAACUGUCUCAGUGGAUUAAAGUACCGAUACUGUCCUAUACAUGUGCUGUUCAAGAAAAACAGUUCAUGUCUGAUUUACUACAAAUCAGACCUUUUAUUUCCGUAAAGGUUUGUUUAUUACUGCUUUUAUUAAAAGUGGUCACUUUAAGAUAUUUGAUGAUAUGGCUAUGAAUUGUGAUUCUGUAACACGUUACUAAAAAUGAUGGUUCUUGGAUGUUGUGCACAGUUGGGGUUGUCCAGCUACUCACCAAGCACCGUCUGGGUCAUCUUUUCUGUGCCUGAAUAAUAUGUGCAUCCUACAUUUAUUAUUAACUCAAUUUCAGGAAUGACACUAAAAAUUCUGGAAUGAAUGACCAUAUUGAAACAUCAGUUUUCCUGAUAGUCUUCUAUUGUAUGACAACUGUUCUGUUCAGUGGUAGCCUUCAGCUGUAAUGUUUUUUGAUGGACACCUUCCAUGUUAUUUGAGAGGAUUUUGUUUUUGGUCAUAGCAUUGGGACUUCACUGAUAGUUUGUGUACAGGUGACGUGUGAUAAAAUCAUUGCAACUGAUAUGAGGUGAUAUGAAUGUUUUUAAAAAUCCUGAUGAUGAUCUCCACUCAUAGUUGUUUGGAAUGAGGGUUGUGGGAGUUCACUACAAUAAUAAUUCCAUUGUUUUUCUGUAUUUUCCAACAAACACAUUUCUGAGUAAAUGAUGAGUUGGAUAUACGUAGUUUGAUGUUUAUAACGAACAUCACUGUUAGUUGUAAAACUUUUUUUCAGAAAAAAAGGUAAAUUAUAUCAAGCCUUAUCACACUGCAUCAAUUUGUUGAGAAGUGUUGAUUAGAAUAAUGUAAUUUAUGGAAGUAUAAUCUGUUGUGACCUUUUUGUCAACAGGUAGGGUUUUCAUUGCCUGGAUGAGUUGAGGCAGGUUUACUUCAUGUCUACAUCUUGGCUCAAUGGGAUGAAACAGGUUUGGAGAUGGUUAUUCCCUGAAUGCUUGGCUGUGGUCACUUGGAGGAUGUUGCGUAGGACCCUGGUGUGUUUGAAGGUGGUCUGCAGCUUUAGUGCAGAUUAAGCUAUUGAGUAGAUAUCCACGACCCAAGUCUGCCAGCUGCACAUAGUUUGGGAUUGAUACUGACAUCUGACUUUUUUGCAGACGUUUUAAUGGUCCAAUCAGGCAGGAGCCGUAACGUUGAAAUUCGGUCCUCAAAAUACAGGGAUGUUUCACACACACUUUCGCCGCUGCUCUUCAUAGAUUGGCUCAACUGAUUGGGAGCUGUCAGUGACGUUGUUCAUGGUCCAAUCCGGCAGGACUGUGCCACAUGAUUGCGGUCCACAACAAACAGAAAAGGACGGAUGUGCUGUGACCGCAACUCAUUGUCCAUCAGGAGUGACUUGCUGUGACAGAACACUUGUGAUCUAUCUGGAGGGAUUUGUGAUGACAGUCACCCAUUGAUCACUCGGAAGGAAAAGGCAUUUACUGUAAUAUCAACCCAUUAAUCCCUCUGGGGGAGUGACCCAUUGAUCUCUCAGGAUAGGAGGAACUUGCAAUGACAGUGUUGCAUUGAUGUAUCCGGAGGACUUUGCUGUGAGAGGGUCACCCAUUGAUCAAAGAGGAGGGACUUCUAGUAGAGGCUUGGGUUAAUCAAAUCAAAUUUUGUCAAUGUCCACAUUGUGCACCCCUUUCAGAAAUUAAAAUUUUUAUUUUGCGGGAAAAAAACGCAUUUAACAUUUUUGAAUUGAGAUCUGGUGCAACUAACAUGUUAGUUUUGCUGUGAAUGUGAUCCAUUGAUUGGUUGACAAUGUUUGAUGAAUUUAAAAACUUGAAAAUGUUGACAUUUUCCCAUGGGGGCGCUGUUAAAAAACAAACAUCAUGCACAAUUUCCACGGGACGUUAAAAUCAGGAGAGUUUUCCUGCAAAUUAAAGGGAAUGUACAUCAUUGGCUUUUGCUGUAAUUUUCAGAAAUGAACUAUUUGAGGGGUUAGUAUAAUAG